RNAcentral lists this ribosomal RNA (105 nucleotides) under uncultured bacterium. RNAcentral describes it as "partial 16S ribosomal RNA". The record is from RNAcentral.
AAGGCCUUCGGGUUGUAAAAUCCUUUCGUGCGGGAAGAUUUUUUGUGGGUGAACAAUCCCACGGAUCGACUGUACCGCAGGAAGAAGCCCCGGCUAAUUACGUGC